This 440-nucleotide ribosomal RNA is filed under the name uncultured bacterium. RNAcentral describes it as "partial 16S ribosomal RNA". It matches the Rfam family "Bacterial small subunit ribosomal RNA", at positions 338 to 795 of the family's 1533-position model. The record is from RNAcentral.
CCUACGGGAGGCUGCAGUGGGGAAUAUUGCACAAUGGGCGCAAGCCUGAUGCAGCGACGCCGCGUGAGCGAAGAAGUAUUUCGGUAUGUAAAGCUCUAUCAGCAGGGAAGAAAAUGACGGUACCUGACUAAGAAGCCCCGGCUAACUACGUGCCAGCAGCCGCGGUAAUACGUAUGGAGCAAGCGUUAUCCGGAAUUACUGGGUGUAAAGGGAGCGUAGACGGAUGUGCAAGUCUGAUGUGAAAGGUGGGGGCUCAACCCCUGGACUGCAUUGGAAACUGUAAAUCUGGAGUUCAGGAGAGGUAAGCGGAAUUCCUAGUGUAGCGGUGAAAUGCGUAGAUAUUAGGAGGAACACCAGUGGCGAAGGCGGCCUACUGGACGGUGACUGACGCUGAGGCUCGAAAGCGUGGGGAGCAAACAGGAUUAGAUACCCGAGUAGUC